GCCGGGCGUGGUGGCGCACACCUGUAGUCCUGGCUACUUUGGAGGCUGAGGUGGGAGGAUAGCUUGAACCCGGGAGGUGGAGGCUGCAGUGAGCUGUGAUCGCACCACUGCACUCCAGCCUGGGUGACAGAGCGAGACCCUGUCUCAA
RNAcentral lists this non-coding RNA (148 nucleotides) under Homo sapiens (human). Lineage: Eukaryota; Metazoa; Chordata; Mammalia; Primates; Hominidae. The record is from Rfam by way of RNAcentral.